AUGAAUUGACGGGGGCCCGCACAAGCGGUGGAGCAUGUGGUUUAAUUCGAUGCAACGCGAAGAACCUUACCUACUCUUGACAUCUACAGGAUCCUGCGGAGACGCGGGAGUGCCUUCGGGAACUGUAAGACAGGUGCUGCAUGGCUGUCGUCAGCUCGUGUUGUGAAAUGUUGGGUUAAGUCCCGCAACGAGCGCAACCCUUAUCCUUGUUUGCCAGCGAGUAAUGUCGGGAACUCCAGGGAGACUGCCGGUGAUAAACCGGAGGAAGGUGGGGACGACGUCAAGUCAUCAUGGCCCUUACGAGUAGGGCUACACACGUGCUACAAUGGCGCAUACAGAGGGCGGCGAGCUAGCGAUAGUGAGCGAAUCCCAAAAAGUGCGUCGUAGUCCGGAUUGGAGUCUGCAACUCGACUCCAUGAAGUCGGAAUCGCUAGUAAUCGUGGAUCAGAAUGCCACGGUGAAUACGUUCCCGGGCCUUGUACACACCGCCCGUCACACCAUGGGAGUGGGCUGCAAA
This 517-nucleotide ribosomal RNA is filed under the name uncultured bacterium. RNAcentral describes it as "bacterial SSU rRNA". It matches the Rfam family "Bacterial small subunit ribosomal RNA", at positions 905 to 1421 of the family's 1533-position model. The record is from RNAcentral.